UGAGGUAUGGUAGAUCAGAGGUUGAGGUAUGGUAAAUGAGAGGUUGAGGUGUGGUGGAUCAGAGGUUGAGGUAUGGUGGAUCAGAGGUUGAGGUAUGGUAGAUCAGGGGUUGAGGUAUGGUAGAUGAGAGCUUGAGGUAUGGUAGAUCAGAGGUUGAGGUAUGGUGGAUCAGAGGUUGAGUUGAGGUAUGGUAGAUCAGAGGUUGAGGUAUGGUGGAUCAGAGGUCUCUGAGGUAUGGUAGAUCAGAGGUUGAGGUAUGGUGGAUCUGAGGUUGAGUUGAGGUAUGGUGGAUCUGAGGUUGAGUUGAGGUAUGGUAGAUCAGAGGUUGAGGUAUGGUAGAUCAGAGGUUGAGGUAUGGUGGAUCAGAGCUUGAGGUAAUGUAGUGAGAGAUUGAGUUGAAGUAUGGU
Molecule: long non-coding RNA, 407 nt
Organism: Oncorhynchus tshawytscha (Chinook salmon)
Lineage: Eukaryota; Metazoa; Chordata; Actinopteri; Salmoniformes; Salmonidae
Source: Ensembl